GAAAGUAAAGAAGGGCGUAUGGCGGAUGCCUAGGCUCUCGGAGGCGAAGAAGGACGUGAUAAGCUGCGAAAAGCUGCGGCGAGGAGCAAAUAUCCUGCGACCCGCAGAUUUCCGAAUGGGGCAACCCGGCAGGACAACCUGUCAUCCCGGGAAACGGGAAGCAAACGUGGGGAACUGAAACAUCUCAUUACCCACAGGAAAAGAAAAUAACAAUGAUUCCGUCAGUAGUGGCGAGCGAAAGCGGAAGAGCCCAAACCGGUUCUGUUUCGGCAGAGCCGGGGUAGAAGGACUGCAUAGGACAAAGGAGCAGGUAGCCGAACGGUCUGGAAAGGCCGGUCAAAGACGGUGAUAACCCGGUAGGCGAAACCAGCGACAGCGACAGCAGUAUCCUGAGUAGUGCGGGACACGAGAAAUCCUGUAUGAAUCGGCGGGGACCAUCCCGUAAGGCUAAAUACUCCCGAGAGACCGAUAGCGAACCAGUACUGUGAAGGAAAGGUGAAAAGAACCUCGAACAGAGGAGUGAAAAAGACCCUGAAACCAUACGCCUACAAGCGGUCGGAGCCCCUACGUGGGGUGACGGCGUGCCUUUGCAUAAUGAACCUACGAGUUACUUU
Molecule: ribosomal RNA, 614 nt
Filed under: Tannerella sp. 6_1_58FAA_CT1
Lineage: Bacteria; Pseudomonadati; Bacteroidota; Bacteroidia; Bacteroidales; Tannerellaceae
Description: bacterial LSU rRNA
Rfam family: Bacterial large subunit ribosomal RNA
Source: RNAcentral